RNAcentral lists this long non-coding RNA (1871 nucleotides) under Marmota monax (woodchuck). The record is from RNAcentral. Lineage: Eukaryota; Metazoa; Chordata; Mammalia; Rodentia; Sciuridae.
CCUCCAAUGACCCAGUCACACCCUACCUGUCUGCGAUUACCGCCCAGUUAAUCCCUAUCAGGGAUUUAUGCACUAAUUAAGUGAAGGCUCUCAUAACCAAAGCAGUUCCCCUCUAAACCCUCUUGCAUUGUCUCAUAUGUGAGUUUUGGGGGGAUCUCUCUUAUCUAAACCGUAACAGUGGGAAAGGAAGUCUGAUGAACACCCUAAUGGUGAGAGGUUUCCUUGGUCAGGGAUUGAGCAGCGUAUUCCUGGCUGUUCCAGUUCCAUCCAGCAGAGGGCAGUUUGGGGCUUGGUGGGGAACCUGGCUCAAAACAGAAACUGGCCUUGUGGUCCCCAACUCCUUAUCUAAGCUCCCAGGGAGAGCAGGUGGUGUCACAGGGAAUAGCAGUGGAGCAGAGGGUCCUGAGCCAUGAUUAGCCGCAGCCUGAGUCCCAGGGUCCCUUGAGAGCCCUACCUCCCAGAGCCACCAGACAGAGAGGUGCCGAGAAGAGACACACACCUGAGUACCUGGGCUGUGGCUCAAAACAGGCCACACUCCUGGUGCUUCAGCUUGGUCAAGCCCCAGCAUCUUCAGUUUGAUUUUCUUUAAAAUACCCCAAGGUGGAAGAGGAAAAUUGGGCCAAGUAGAGAGAAAACAAGAUGGACCAUGAGUUAAAAACUGUUGAAGCUGGGUGGUGGGUUCACUGGGGUUUAUUAUACCUUUCUAUUCUUUUAAAUUUUGAUAUCUGUUUGAAAAUUUCAUCAGUGAAAGAUUUUUUAAUGUUCUGAUGCUGAAACUGGAUCUAAAAACUAGUUUGUUUGUUUGUUUGUUUGUUUUGUUGUUUCUUCUGAGUAGGAGUUUCUAGAGGAAAUGAGGAAAAUCCAGGGAGGCUUUUUGUCACCACCUGCCACACCUGGAUCAAUGAAGAUGAAGGCUACACUCUCCCCUGGUCUGCCCAGGGUCAGGGAGGUACAACUGAAGGUGCAGAAGGACUUAUCCCAGCCACUUGCUUGUGCUAUGGCUCCCUGACUCUACUCAGUUGUCCACAGACAGGACAACACCACCAGCAAACUGGCUCAUAAAAUCGCAAUAAAAUGGACCAGGAUCUUCAGAACAGACUAGAGGGGAAGGAGUAGAUGAGGGGAGGAAGACCAGUUGGGGUUUUGCAAGAGAAAAAAAAAUGUGAGGGGUCAAAAUCAGGCAAUUUGGAAGACACAGAUUUGGAAACAAGCCUUGGGACAAUUACUAGGGCUUCCAUUUCAUGGAAUGUGAGAACUGAAUGGGCAGGAAGCCUUGGAGACUGCUCGAGAAAUCCUGGAUCCGCAGUGAAUCCCUGGACUGAGGUGAGCGUAAUGGAGAGGAAAAGCAAGUGUUUUUCUAAGACAAAUUUAAUUUCAAGACAACAAUAAUCCAACAUGCACUAUUCAAGGAGCCCCAGAAAGAGAUGAGAACCAGAGAGGAGGAAGGGGAAGUCACAGGAGUGCUGGACCAGUGUAGGGGAGAGCGCCAUCACCCUGGGAGAGAGGAGGGUAUGGAAGGGAUCUCAGGGAAGCCAGCUGUCACAGGGCAGGAGGGGAGACCAUCACAGAGAAGAUGGAGGUAGGGAAUAAAAGGAGCUGGUCAUGUGGAAGGAGAACCAGAAAUAACAAUGGACCGAGUGUGGUGGCAUAUGCCUGUAUUCCCAGUGGCUCAGGAGGCUGAGGCAGGAGGCUUGCAAGUUCAAAUCAACUUCAGCAACUUAGUGAGACCCUGACUCUAAAUAAAAUAUUAAAAAAAGAGCUAGGGAUGUGGCUAGCAUCCCUGGGUUCAAUCCCCAGUACGAAAAAAAAAAAAAGACCAUGGAAACAAUAAUAGAAGAGAGAAUUGCAAGAAGUGUAUCCAAUGAUGUCCU